This 577-nucleotide ribosomal RNA is filed under the name Crustodontia chrysocreas. Its description in RNAcentral is "partial 28S ribosomal RNA". It matches the Rfam family "Eukaryotic large subunit ribosomal RNA", at positions 66 to 628 of the family's 3401-position model. The record is from RNAcentral. Lineage: Eukaryota; Fungi; Basidiomycota; Agaricomycetes; Polyporales; Meruliaceae.
UAACAAGGAUUCCCCUAGUAACUGCGAGUGAAGCGGGAAAAGCUCAAAUUUAAAAUCUGGUAGCCUUUGGUUGCCCGAGUUGUAGUCUGGAGAAGUGUCUUCCGCGCCGAACCGUGUACAAGUCUCUUGGAACAGAGCGUCAUAGAGGGUGAGAAUCCCGUCUUUGACACGGACUACCGGUGCUUUGUGAUGCGCUCUCAAAGAGUCGAGUUGUUUGGGAAUGCAGCUCAAAAUGGGUGGUGAAUUCCAUCUAAAGCUAAAUAUUGGCGAGAGACCGAUAGCGAACAAGUACCGUGAGGGAAAGAUGAAAAGCACUUUGGAAAGAGAGUUAAACAGUACGUGAAAUUGCUAAAAGGGAACCGCUUGAAGUCAGUCGCGUCGUCUAGAACUCAACCUUGCUUGCUUGGUGCAUUUUCUAGUUGACGGGCCAACAUCAAUUUUGACUGUCGGAAAAAAGCCUUCGGAAUGUGGCACCCUCGGGUGUGUUAUAGCCUUUGGUUGUAUACGAUGGUUGGGAUUGAGGACCGCAGCACGCCUUUAUGGCCGGGGUUCGCCCACGUACGUGCUUAGGAUGUUG